Unclassified non-coding RNA from Callithrix jacchus (white-tufted-ear marmoset), 147 nucleotides. It matches the Rfam family "Metazoan signal recognition particle RNA". Rfam says of the family: The signal recognition particle (SRP) is a universally conserved ribonucleoprotein. The record is from Ensembl. Lineage: Eukaryota; Metazoa; Chordata; Mammalia; Primates; Cebidae.
GCCGGGCAUAGUGGCGAUGCCUGUAGUCCCAGCUAUUCAGAAGGCUGAGGCAGGAGGAUCACUUGAGCCCAGGAGUUCAAGGCUAUAGUGAGCUCUGAUUGUGCCACUGCUUUCCAGCCUGGGCAACAGAGUGAUAUCCUGUCUCUA